RNAcentral lists this ribosomal RNA (498 nucleotides) under Anaerolineae bacterium. RNAcentral's name for it is "bacterial SSU rRNA". It matches the Rfam family "Bacterial small subunit ribosomal RNA", at positions 1 to 506 of the family's 1533-position model. Lineage: Bacteria; Bacillati; Chloroflexota; Anaerolineae. The record is from RNAcentral.
UUUGCGGAGAGUUUGAUCCUGGCUCAGGAUGAACGCUGGCGGCGUGCCUAACACAUGCAAGUCGAACGAACUCGAUUCUUCGGAUGAAGAGUUAGUGGCGCACGGGUGAGUAACACGUAGGUGACCUACCCCAGAGUGGGGGACAACUUCUCGAAAGAGGAGCUAAUACCCCAUAUGCUCAGUCAUUCGGUUGAUUGAGUAAAGUUCCGGCGCUCUGGGAGGGGCCUGCGUCCGAUUAGCUAGUUGGUGGGGUAAUGGCCUACCAAGGCGAUGAUCGGUAGCUGGUCUGAGAGGACGAUCAGCCACACUGGCACUGACACACGGGCCAGACUCCUACGGGAGGCAGCAGUGAGGAAUAUUGCGCAAUGGGCGAAAGCCUGACGCAGCGACGCCGCGUGGGGGAUGAAGGUUUUCGGAUUGUAAACCCCUUUUAUGAGGAAAGAUAGGGCAGGUAACUGCCUAGACGGUACCUCAAGAAAAAGCCACGGUUAACUUCGU